This 450-nucleotide ribosomal RNA is filed under the name uncultured bacterium. RNAcentral's name for it is "partial 16S ribosomal RNA". It matches the Rfam family "Bacterial small subunit ribosomal RNA", at positions 330 to 795 of the family's 1533-position model. The record is from RNAcentral.
UCCAGACUCCUACGGGAGGCAGCAGUGGGGAAUAUUGGGCAAUGGGCGCAAGCCUGACCCAGCGACGCCGCGUGAGGGAAGACGGUCUUCGGAUUGUAAACCUCUUUCAGCAGGGAAGACAAAAGGACGGUACCUGCAGAAGAAGCCACGGCUAACUACGUGCCAGCAGCCGCGGUAAUACGUAGGUGGCAAGCGUUAUCCGGAAUUACUGGGUGUAAAGGGUGUGUAGGCGGGGCUGCAAGUCAGAUGUGAAAUCCCAAGGCUCAACCUUGGAACUGCAUUUGAAACUGUUGGUCUUGAGUAUCGGAGAGGCAGGCGGAAUUCCUAGUGUAGCGGUGAAAUGCGUAGAUAUUAGGAGGAACACCAGUGGCGAAGGCGGCCUGCUGGACGACAACUGACGGUGAGGCGCGAAAGCGUGGGGAGCAAACAGGAUUAGAUACCCUUGUACUU